UCCACUCACAUCCUAUGGGUCUUACCUUUUCAGGUGAAUCAACGAAUGUCUAUACAUCGUCGAUCUUCAUGGACUUCAUUUCAGAUUUAAUGGCUUCAAGCCACUUCUUAAAGUUAGAUCCCUGUAUUGCAUUCGUAUGGAAGAUCAAAUCUCCAUCUCGAAUCCAAAAAUUAAGUAUCUAUUCGGCUGAUACGGUACUCUACCAUAUCUACUCAGAGAUGCCUUUACAUCAGACUCCAGAUUUGAUCUAAUCAAUUCUGGUUCUGUUGAUUUGUGUCAGAGUUGGUUCUUUUAUCUAUCAAGCUUCACCAAGCUUGCUCUUAACGGCAUCAGUUCUUUCAUAAAAAAUUUUUUUUUCCAAAAAGAAUAUCUUAAGAUUCAUGAAAAUCUCAUAUCCAUCAGGAAGGUAGAAGAAAUAUCCUUAAUAUAAUAUUUAUCAGAUCAAGAUUUAAGCUAGUCGAUUUGUGAACAUUUUACAUAAGUUCGACACCCCGAAUCCUAAGAUAAGAGAGCAUCGUAUUAAGUCAGUCCAUAUCUCAUAUGGAGUUUUGGCAAUCAAUUUGCUUGGAAUGUUCUUGAGCACAUAUCAAAUAGUCUUUAAAACAUAACUUCAGGCAGACC
Molecule: long non-coding RNA, 621 nt
Filed under: Elaeis guineensis (African oil palm)
Lineage: Eukaryota; Viridiplantae; Streptophyta; Magnoliopsida; Arecales; Arecaceae
Description: long non-coding RNA (EGUI_LNC042602)
Source: RNAcentral